RNAcentral lists this ribosomal RNA (2891 nucleotides) under Klebsiella pneumoniae. RNAcentral's name for it is "bacterial LSU rRNA". It matches the Rfam family "Bacterial large subunit ribosomal RNA". The record is from RNAcentral. Lineage: Bacteria; Pseudomonadati; Pseudomonadota; Gammaproteobacteria; Enterobacterales; Enterobacteriaceae.
ACUAAGCGUACACGGUGGAUGCCCUGGCAGUCAGAGGCGAUGAAGGACGUGCUAAUCUGCGAAAAGCGUCGGUAAGGUGAUAUGAACCGUUAUAACCGGCGAUGUCCGAAUGGGGAAACCCAGUGCAAUUCGUUGCACUAUCGUUAACUGAAUACAUAGGUUAACGAGGCGAACCGGGGGAACUGAAACAUCUAAGUACCCCGAGGAAAAGAAAUCAACCGAGAUUCCCCCAGUAGCGGCGAGCGAACGGGGAGCAGCCCAGAGUCUGAAUCAGCUUGUGUGUUAGUGGAACGGUCUGGAAAGUCCGACGGUACAGGGUGAUAGUCCCGUACACCAAAAUGCACAGGCUGUGAACUCGAAGAGUAGGGCGGGACACGUGGUAUCCUGUCUGAAUAUGGGGGGACCAUCCUCCAAGGCUAAAUACUCCUGACUGACCGAUAGUGAACCAGUACCGUGAGGGAAAGGCGAAAAGAACCCCGGCGAGGGGAGUGAAAAAGAACCUGAAACCGUGUACGUACAAGCAGUGGGAGCACCUUCGGGUGUGACUGCGUACCUUUUGUAUAAUGGGUCAGCGACUUAUAUUCUGUAGCAAGGUUAACCGUAUAGGGGAGCCGCAGGGAAACCGAGUCUUAACUGGGCGUUAAGUUGCAGGGUAUAGACCCGAAACCCGGUGAUCUAGCCAUGGGCAGGUUGAAGGUUGGGUAACACUAACUGGAGGACCGAACCGACUAAUGUUGAAAAAUUAGCGGAUGACUUGUGGCUGGGGGUGAAAGGCCAAUCAAACCGGGAGAUAGCUGGUUCUCCCCGAAAGCUAUUUAGGUAGCGCCUCGUGAACUCAUCUUCGGGGGUAGAGCACUGUUUCGGCUAGGGGGUCAUCCCGACUUACCAACCCGAUGCAAACUACGAAUACCGAAGAAUGUUAUCACGGGAGACACACGGCGGGUGCUAACGUCCGUCGUGAAGAGGGAAACAACCCAGACCGCCAGCUAAGGUCCCAAAGUCAUGGUUAAGUGGGAAACGAUGUGGGAAGGCACAGACAGCCAGGAUGUUGGCUUAGAAGCAGCCAUCAUUUAAAGAAAGCGUAAUAGCUCACUGGUCGAGUCGGCCUGCGCGGAAGAUGUAACGGGGCUAAACCAUGCACCGAAGCUGCGGCAGCGACACUAUGUGUUGUUGGGUAGGGGAGCGUUCUGUAAGCCUGCGAAGGUGACCUGUGAGGGUUGCUGGAGGUAUCAGAAGUGCGAAUGCUGACAUAAGUAACGAUAAAGCGGGUGAAAAGCCCGCUCGCCGGAAGACCAAGGGUUCCUGUCCAACGUUAAUCGGGGCAGGGUGAGUCGACCCCUAAGGCGAGGCCGAAAGGCGUAGUCGAUGGGAAACAGGUUAAUAUUCCUGUACUUGGUGUUACUGCGAAGGGGGGACGGAGAAGGCUAUGUUAGCCGGGCGACGGUUGUCCCGGUUUAAGCAUGUAGGCUGAUUGUCCAGGCAAAUCCGGAUAAUCAAGGCUGAGGUGUGAUGACGAGGCACUACGGUGCUGAAGUAACAAAUGCCCUGCUUCCAGGAAAAGCCUCUAAGCAUCAGGUAACAUUAAAUCGUACCCCAAACCGACACAGGUGGUCAGGUAGAGAAUACCAAGGCGCUUGAGAGAACUCGGGUGAAGGAACUAGGCAAAAUGGUGCCGUAACUUCGGGAGAAGGCACGCUGGUGUGUAGGUGAAGUCCCUGCGGAUGGAGCUGAGACCAGUCGAAGAUACCAGCUGGCUGCAACUGUUUAUUAAAAACACAGCACUGUGCAAACACGAAAGUGGACGUAUACGGUGUGACGCCUGCCCGGUGCCGGAAGGUUAAUUGAUGGGGUUAUCCGUAAGGAGAAGCUCUUGAUCGAAGCCCCGGUAAACGGCGGCCGUAACUAUAACGGUCCUAAGGUAGCGAAAUUCCUUGUCGGGUAAGUUCCGACCUGCACGAAUGGCGUAAUGAUGGCCAGGCUGUCUCCACCCGAGACUCAGUGAAAUUGAACUCGCUGUGAAGAUGCAGUGUACCCGCGGCAAGACGGAAAGACCCCGUGAACCUUUACUAUAGCUUGACACUGAACAUUGAGCCUUGAUGUGUAGGAUAGGUGGGAGGCUUUGAAGCGUGGACGCCAGUCUGCGUGGAGCCAACCUUGAAAUACCACCCUUUAAUGUUUGAUGUUCUAACGUUGGCCCCUGACCGGGGUUGCGGACAGUGUCUGGUGGGUAGUUUGACUGGGGCGGUCUCCUCCCAAAGCGUAACGGAGGAGCACGAAGGUUAGCUAAUCCUGGUCGGACAUCAGGAGGUUAGUGCAAUGGCAUAAGCUAGCUUGACUGCGAGCGUGACGGCGCGAGCAGGUGCGAAAGCAGGUCAUAGUGAUCCGGUGGUUCUGAAUGGAAGGGCCAUCGCUCAACGGAUAAAAGGUACUCCGGGGAUAACAGGCUGAUACCGCCCAAGAGUUCAUAUCGACGGCGGUGUUUGGCACCUCGAUGUCGGCUCAUCACAUCCUGGGGCUGAAGUAGGUCCCAAGGGUAUGGCUGUUCGCCAUUUAAAGUGGUACGCGAGCUGGGUUUAGAACGUCGUGAGACAGUUCGGUCCCUAUCUGCCGUGGGCGCUGGAGAAUUGAGGGGGGCUGCUCCUAGUACGAGAGGACCGGAGUGGACGCAUCACUGGUGUUCGGGUUGUCAUGCCAAUGGCACUGCCCGGUAGCUAAAUGCGGAAGAGAUAAGUGCUGAAAGCAUCUAAGCACGAAACUUGCCCCGAGAUGAGUUCUCCCUGAGACUUUAAGUCUCCUGAAGGAACGUUGAAGACGACGACGUUGAUAGGCCGGGUGUGUAAGCGCAGCGAUGCGUUGAGCUAACCGGUACUAAUGAACCGUGAGGCUUAACC